CGAGUUGAUUGGGCAAUCGCUAUCUUUUGAUAGAGGAAAGUCCGGGCUCCGAAGAGCAAAGUGGUGGAUAACAUCCACCCGGGGUGACCCGAGGGAAAGUGCAACAGAAAGUAAACCGCCAAAAGAAAUUUUGGUAAGGAUGAAACGGUGGUGUAAGAGACCACCAGCAUUGCAAGUGAUUGCAGUGGCUAGGUAAACCCCACUUAGCAAUAAGGACAGAACCCGGCUUACAGAUCAACUCGUUUA
Molecule: RNase P RNA, 246 nt
Filed under: Actinomycetota bacterium
Lineage: Bacteria; Bacillati; Actinomycetota
Description: Actinobacteria bacterium RNase P RNA component class A
Rfam family: Bacterial RNase P class A
About the family: Ribonuclease P (RNase P) is a ubiquitous endoribonuclease, found in archaea, bacteria and eukarya as well as chloroplasts and mitochondria. Its best characterised activity is the generation of mature 5'-ends of tRNAs by cleaving the 5'-leader elements of precursor-tRNAs. Cellular RNase Ps are ribonucleoproteins.
Source: RNAcentral